AGUGAACGCUGGCGGUAGGCCUAACACAUGCAAGUCGAACGGCAGCACAGUAAGAGCUUGCUCUUACGGGUGGCGAGUGGCGGACGGGUGAGGCAUACAUCGGAAUCUACUUUUUCGUGGGGGAUAACGUAGGGAAACCUACGCUAAUACCGCAUACGACCUACGGGUGAAAGCAGGAGAUCUUCGGACCUUGCGCGAUUGAAUGAGCCGAUGUCGGAUUAGCUAGUUGGCGGGGUAAAGGCCCACCAAGGCGACGAUCCGUAGCUGGUCUGAGAGGAUGAUCAGCCACACUGGAACUGAGACACGGUCCAGACUCCUACGGGAGGCAGCAGUGGGGAAUAUUGGACAAUGGGCGCAAGCCUGAUCCAGCCAUACCGCGUGGGUGAAGAAGGCCUUCGGGUUGUAAAGCCCUUUUGUUGGGAAAGAAAAGCAGCAGGUUAAUACCCCGCUGUUCUGACGGUACCCAAAGAAUAAGCACCGGCUAACUUCGUG
RNAcentral lists this ribosomal RNA (492 nucleotides) under uncultured bacterium. RNAcentral's name for it is "partial 16S ribosomal RNA". It matches the Rfam family "Bacterial small subunit ribosomal RNA", at positions 29 to 507 of the family's 1533-position model. The record is from RNAcentral.